UUAGUGUGAAGGUGUGACUAAUGACUCGUGUGAUUUCGUCCGUCGACGAAAAACUCGAAAGUAAAAAUUUACAUUGCUUUUAGCUCAGCAACUCUUAUUAGCCUCUUUCUAUAGAUGUAGUCAUUGUAGUGAGCCAUUCAGAUUAUAUAAUGAUAAUAUCCUGACCACCUAAGAAACAGUUUUUUCUGUGGUAGCCUUCCUUGCUUUGCCUGUUUUCAAUUGGAUUCCAGUUGGGCAAAUCCAACAACUAUAAGAAAGAGAUUAAGAGAUACACCAUAUCCACGAAAAGUUAAUUCCAAACUUUGCCUCUUAUCAAAGCUUUGUCACGUGUGCCAAGUAUUUUUGCUGACUCCAAGAAACCGUUAAACAAUGGGACAACUUCAACAUGCUUCAAGUGCAAUUAUUAAAUAACUUUUGUUGUGAGGCUUGGUGUAUCAACUAGGUAUGAAGCUACUGUGUGCUCACUUUUCUCCGAGUUCAGCAACCUUUACAUCAAUGAUCACAACUGGAUAUUCAAUGGUUAUUUCAACAGGGCAUUAUUGCGUAAUAAUACUUUGAGUGUAUUACUAAUGUCGACUUGAAGCAGAACCGUCAACAAAAUUUGAUCCAUCGGUCAUCUCGCUCUUAAAACGUCCUCGCCCAGAGCUCCAGUAUCUUGUGGUGUGCAGCUACAUCCAGCUGCGACGUUAGUGGAGAUGAUCUUUUCAGGUUCCUGAGCAAACGAUUUCGUCGAUGGUGACGACAACAUUUCCCAGUGGAUGGUCGUUUUCUACAGUUUUGUUUUCCACUUUGAAAGAACAAACAGUUUGGGAAUGUCGGCCGAGUUCCUGCAGUUCGUCCACGAUGGAAACGGUGCGAUACUGGACCACGUUGUCUUCUUCUUCAGGCUGUCCAAGUUGACCGGAACCAGUUGCGGCAGUGCUUGGUAGGACCAGGCAAUGAGCUGCGGAAACGAAAAACAUUAAAAGGCAAGAUCCACAAAGAUAUGCUACACAAAAGAUUCUUGGUCGAUUUGUCAAAAGUUUCAUUCUUGUCACACGAAGAGAUAUAGUUCUAACCCAUUGUUGGUCGAUGGUGUGAAGCUGUAACCAAUUCCGCUGCACGGCCCACCCAGAAAGCCUACCUCAGAUAAAUGACAUGAAUGAAUAUUCAGCUUUAGAUGGGAACUCCAACAACUUCUGCGAUCCUCCUAAUCCUUUCCAUCUACCCGACUUUGACACCGGGACCACCUAUUAUUGCCGACUUCUAAUGGUACUUCCGGACUUCCGGUAAUCCGCCACAGCUCGACCGGCUUUCAGUAUUCAGCCCACAUCCGAGACUCUAUACAAUUGACGAAUCCAUCGUAAACCUGGAAACGUGCAUUAGAAAACCGGGUCCGUUUUGCGCACAACACAGAUGAUUCUCAGAGCGUUGCGCCUAUAAACGAGAAUGACAGAGACCUUUUAAUUUCGAGGGAGAUGAAUUAUUUGAAAAUGUCCAUUAGAAAAAAAUUAAGAAACCGCUGGCAAAUACCGAUCCGGUAUUUAGCGUGAACUUAAAGUGGCAAGCAACCGUUUCAAAUUUUUAAUAUUGAUUUUUGUUCGUUCCAUGUGCAGUCUGUUGGCAAUAAGCCAAUAACCAACUGUGACCAUCAAAAUUUUAACAGCAGAAUAAAGUACGCAAUGGGAAAACAGAUCGAAUUCAAGGGAAAAACUGAAAGAAUUUGAAUUAAAAUUCAAUAAAGAGUAGGGAAAGAAAAAGUUUUGGUUGCACAAACUGCCUGGAACAAGAGUCGGGUCGGCGGUCAUCGACUAUUACCAGUACAGUUUGGACUUUUUGGUUGAAUCUUUUUAAAUUGAUAGAUUAAUCGCAUUUCUUACACGACGUGUGUUAAAGUUUUACCCGUAGGCCUAUCCAUAAAUCAUUGACACAAC
This is a long non-coding RNA of Daphnia pulex (common water flea), 1913 nucleotides long. RefSeq lists it as uncharacterized. The record is from RefSeq and is a predicted model, not a curated record. NCBI's taxonomy places the organism in Eukaryota, Metazoa, Arthropoda, Branchiopoda, Diplostraca, Daphniidae. The transcript has 10 exons.